CAUUUUUCCUUUUCGUCCCGGCUGGCCUGCCCGGAGGCUCUUUCCUCUCAAUAAAGCCUGAACUUAAGGAAUUUCCUCUAGCCUGCGGUCCGGUUUUUUCCGAACGAGCUCAGUCUUCCCGCAGAGGGUAGGUCGGACAAAUGGUGCCGAAACCCGGGACGGGAGCUGAGGCCGUUGGCCCGGCCACGGCCCCCCUCCCCGACCUACCCAACACUGGCCCUGCCACCUCCACUUUCCGAUUAAGGCUGGAUUGAAGCCUCUGAGUCUGCCGGGACAGUAGCCACUCAUCUCAUUCAAGACAUCAUCCCACGCUUUGGACUCCCAGCUACCAUACAGUCAGACAACGGCCUAGCCUUUAUCUCCAAAGUCACUAAUGCCGUUUCUACCUCUCUAGGAAUUCAGUAGAAGCUACAUGCCGCCUACCAUCCCCAGUCCUCUGGUAAGGUAGAACGGGCCAAUGGCCUAAUAAAGGAGCAUCUGACCAAGCUCAUGCUUGAGCUCCGCCAAUCCUGGGUAACCUUACUUCCUAUCGCCCUCACCAGAGUAAGAGCAAGCCCCCGGGGCCCAUCACAGCUUAGCCCAUUUGAGCUGCUGUAUGGUUGCCCCUUCCUGCUUUCAACUCCCCCACCGCCAGAGACUACUCCUCUAGACAGCUACCUCCCCUACUUUACUCAGGAUUAGGAGGAGGGGCACUAGUCCACUCUCACCUGGCCAUAGCCCGACUGACCUCACAACUCCAAGCGGCUAUUGAUGACUCUACUGAGUCUUUAGCAUCACUCCAACGACAGAUCACCUCAGUUGCCCAAGUUGCCUUGCAGAACCGAAGAGCCCUGGACCUGCUCACUGCUGAACGAGGAGGGACCUGUAUCUUCCUACAGGAAGAGUGCUGUUACUACAUCAAUGAAUCCGGCCUAGUAGAAACCCGAAUCGAGAGCCUCCAGAAACUCAAAACUAACCUGCAGAGUCAGAAGUUCUCGGCUGAAGCCACGGCGUGGUGGUCUUCCUCUAUGUAUACCCUCUUGUCCCCAUUGCUUGGGCCCCUAGUAGCUGUUUGCCUAAUCUUACUUAUUGCUCCUUGCUUUCUACAGUUCCUAUAGCGGCGCUUUCAAGAACUGACUCGAGUCACCAUCCACCAGAUGCUGCUCCAACCCUACCCUGAACGAGUGCAAGAAACAGACCUCUCCCCGAACAUCCAGGCUCGUUAAGAAAAGAGACCUCUUCAGAACCCCCAUCGACCCUUGUCAGCAGGAAGUAGCUAGAGAGACAACCGACGCCCCUGACCCCCUCUUUUUCUUUUCUUUAAGGAGUCGGGAAUGUUUGGAAAACUCUGCCCCUACCGCAAAAGCUCUCUCUCUCUCUCUUUCCCUCCCCCACAAAGAGGCUCCCUUAUCUCUCACUUUACAUACCGGCCAUAGCCCUCCCGCCGCCCAGCUUCCCGCCGCCCAGCUUCCCGCCCAGCAGUUCAAACUGACCAACAGUUGCCCACCACCUCGGCUUUUGGCUUCCCCACCCCCAGCCCUUCAGCCCCCUAUAAAACAACCCUGCCCCUUUGAGCGGCGCGGCCAUUUUUCCUUUUCGUCCCGGCUGGCCUGCCCGGAGGCUCUUUCCUCUCAAUAAAGCCUGAACUUAAGGAA
Molecule: non-coding RNA, 1634 nt
Organism: Callithrix jacchus (white-tufted-ear marmoset)
Lineage: Eukaryota; Metazoa; Chordata; Mammalia; Primates; Cebidae
Source: RefSeq, a predicted model, not a curated record